Molecule: long non-coding RNA, 926 nt
Organism: Homo sapiens (human)
Lineage: Eukaryota; Metazoa; Chordata; Mammalia; Primates; Hominidae
Source: Ensembl
GCAGGCUGAUCCAGAUCUCCCUUCUCCUUGCAAAUAUUUUUUGGAUCACAGGUGGGCAGGAUCUUGGCCUUACUUGAUGCAGUGCACACCUCCAACAGGCAUCAGAUGGAGUGCAGCCGGGAGCAAGAUUCUCAUAGCAAUUACAAAGAUUCACAAGAAAAUGUGCCCUCCACUACACAGCUGUAAUUUACAUGCUUUCAAACUUGAUAUGGAAUGACUGUGGUUUCCCCUGAAAGAAGCAUCACUGAUCUCUGCACAGGAGAAACAAGGAUCUUGCUCUGUCACCUAGGCUGGAGUGCAAUGGCACACUCACGGCUCACUGCAGCGUCAAACUCCCAGGCUCAAGUGUUCCUCCUACCUCAGCCUCCUGAGUAGCUAGGACCACAGCACAGGCCCAGACACAAAGCAGAUGUGCAGUGGAGUGUGAAAGAGGCAGCCAACUCACUGGGGAGCUUCAGAGGGAGAUGGCCCAAAUUGCUGGGGCCUAAGAAUCUCCCGGAAUGAAGGAACAGUAGAAAGAACUGGAAGCCAAAUAUGGUGAUAGAGACUCUCAUCAAGGACACUGAGUAAACCAGAAACCUGCUUGGGCUCACGUUCCUUGUCUCUUCUUCUCAGAUCCAGGAAAGGAGCUGUCCAGGACAAUGAGGAUAGGCUGAGGAAAGACAGGCCACGGCCUUGCCUCUGUGCCAGCUCUCAUGGGCCAGGCAGAGUAUCCCAGGACAACUGCCUCCACAACCAGCUCCAUCCUUCAUCAGCAAUUCAGUACCUGAUUAACAAAUCUGUACCCCAGGAGGUUAUGCCAAGUCCAACUUCUUCCAGAGACCACAACAAUAAAUCCAAGCCACUGCUAAUGUCAUUUAUAAGCUGUGGGAUUAAAACAGAGAAGCAAUCAAUUAAUUAAAAUUAGCUCUUUAUUGAAACUAUAA